Molecule: ribosomal RNA, 356 nt
Filed under: uncultured bacterium
Lineage: Bacteria
Description: bacterial SSU rRNA
Rfam family: Bacterial small subunit ribosomal RNA
Source: RNAcentral
AGAGUUUGAUCAUGGCUCAGGAUGAACGCUAGCUACAGGCUUAACACAUGCAAGUCGAGGGGAAACGACAUCGAAAGCUUGCUUUUGAUGGGCGUCGACCGGCGCACGGGUGAGUAACGCGUAUCCAACCUGCCCACCACUUGGUGAUAACCUUGCGAAAGUAANACUAAUACCCAAUGAUAUCUCUAGAAGACAUCUGAAAGAGAUUAAAGAUUUAUCGGUGAUGGAUGGGGAUGCGUCUGAUUAGCUUGUUGGCGGGGUAACGGCCCACCAAGGCGACGAUCAGUAGGGGUUCUGAGAGGAAGGUCCCCCACAUUGGAACUGAGACACGGUCCAAACUCCUACGGGAGGCAGCA